GGGAGCUUGCUCCGCUGACGAGUGGCGAACGGGUGGGUAAUGCAUCGGAACGUACCCAGUCGUGGGGGAUAACGUAGCGAAAGUUACGCUAAUACCGCAUACGUCCUGAGGGAGAAAGCGGGGGACCGAAAGGCCUCGCGCGAUUGGAGCGGCCGAUGUCGGAUUAGCUAGUUGGUGGGGUAAAGGCCUACCAAGGCGACGAUCCGUAGCGGGUCUGAGAGGAUGAUCCGCCACACUGGGACUGAGACACGGCCCAGACUCCUACGGGAGGCAGCAGUGGGGAAUUUUGGACAAUGGGGGCAACCCUGAUCCAGCCAUGCCGCGUGAGUGAAGAAGGCCUUCGGGUUGUAAAGCUCUUUCAGACGGAAAGAAAACGCAUCGGUGAAUACCCGAUGUGGAUGACGGUACCGUAAGAAGAAGCACCGGCUAACUACGUGCCAGCAGCCGCGGUAAUACGUAGGGUGCGAGCGUUAAUCGGAAUUACUGGGCGUAAAGCGUGCGCAGGCGGUUAUGUAAGACAGAUGUGAAAUCCCCGGGCUCAACCUGGGAACUGCGUUUGUGACUGCAUAACUAGAGUACGGCAGAGGGAGGUGGAAUUCCGCGUGUAGCAGUGAAAUGCGUAGAUAUGCGGAGGAACACCGAUGGCGAAGCAGCUCCUGGGCCAGUACUGACGCUCAUGC
RNAcentral lists this ribosomal RNA (680 nucleotides) under uncultured bacterium. Its description in RNAcentral is "bacterial SSU rRNA". It matches the Rfam family "Bacterial small subunit ribosomal RNA", at positions 74 to 752 of the family's 1533-position model. The record is from RNAcentral.